GAAUUCUUUGUAACCAUCAUCCUCAUC
This 27-nucleotide non-coding RNA is filed under the name Rattus norvegicus (Norway rat). Lineage: Eukaryota; Metazoa; Chordata; Mammalia; Rodentia; Muridae. The record is from RNAcentral.